RNAcentral lists this ribosomal RNA (616 nucleotides) under Listeria monocytogenes. RNAcentral describes it as "partial 23S ribosomal RNA". It matches the Rfam family "Bacterial large subunit ribosomal RNA", at positions 1 to 615 of the family's 2925-position model. The record is from RNAcentral. Lineage: Bacteria; Bacillati; Bacillota; Bacilli; Caryophanales; Listeriaceae.
GAUAAGGUUAAGUGAAUAAGGGCGCACGGUGGAUGCCUUGGCACUAGGAGCCGAUGAAGGACGGGACUAACACCGAUAUGCUUUGGGGAGCUGUAAGUAAGCUAUGAUCCAGAGAUUUCCGAAUGGGGGAACCCAAUAUCUUUUAUAGGAUAUUACUUUUCAGUGAAUACAUAGCUGAUUAGAGGUAGACGCAGAGAACUGAAACAUCUUAGUACCUGCAGGAAGAGAAAGAAAAUUCGAUUCCCUGAGUAGCGGCGAGCGAAACGGGAAGAGCCCAAACCAACAAGCUUGCUUGUUGGGGUUGUAGGACUCCAAUAUGGUAGUCUGUUAGUAUAGUUGAAGGAUUUGGAAAAUUCCGCUAAAGAGGGUGAAAGCCCCGUAGACGAAAUGCUAACAACACCUAGGAGGAUCCUGAGUACGGCGGAACACGAGAAAUUCCGUCGGAAUCCGCGGGGACCAUCCCGCAAGGCUAAAUACUCCCUAGUGACCGAUAGUGAACCAGUACCGUGAGGGAAAGGUGAAAAGCACCCCGGAAGGGGAGUGAAAUAGAUCCUGAAACCGUGUGCCUACAACAAGUCAAAGCUCGUUAAUGAGUGAUGGCGUGCCUUUUGUAGAA